This 117-nucleotide long non-coding RNA is filed under the name Anser brachyrhynchus (Pink-footed goose). RNAcentral's name for it is "lncRNA (ENSABRG00000019915.1)". The record is from RNAcentral. Lineage: Eukaryota; Metazoa; Chordata; Aves; Anseriformes; Anatidae.
AUACAUCCCCAUUCACCUUCACCUUUUUCUGGGAAAGCUCCCAUCGAUUUUUACUGAAAUGGAACAUGAUGCCAGAUCUCCAGUGAUUUAGAAGCAAAUAUAUGUGGAUGCUUGCAA